AUCCUCAGUUGGUAGAACAUCUGCUUUGCAUGCAGAAGGUUCCAGGUUCAAUUCCUAGCAUCUCUA
Molecule: non-coding RNA, 66 nt
Organism: Podarcis lilfordi (Lilford's wall lizard)
Lineage: Eukaryota; Metazoa; Chordata; Lepidosauria; Squamata; Lacertidae
Source: the annotation of a GenBank genome assembly